GAAGGGGUCUUUGCUGGGUCUGGUUGAGAUGAGGAAGAAGGUCCUCGUGUGGUGUCUCUUGCGUUAGGUCUUGUAGUGUCUGUAUGAAGAAGAAGAAGAUCGAGGCUAGGAUUCCUAAGUUUGUCUUGUGUAUAUGGUUCUACAGUUCUCUUUGUGUUUCUGUUCCUUACGUGUAUUAAGGUGAAAGAAGAACAGUUACUGUUGCUGAUGGG
RNAcentral lists this long non-coding RNA (212 nucleotides) under Nicotiana benthamiana. RNAcentral describes it as "long non-coding RNA (NBEN_LNC033537)". The record is from RNAcentral. Lineage: Eukaryota; Viridiplantae; Streptophyta; Magnoliopsida; Solanales; Solanaceae.